This 71-nucleotide transfer RNA is filed under the name Crassvirales sp. RNAcentral's name for it is "tRNA-Trp". It matches the Rfam family "tRNA". From Rfam's summary of the family: Transfer RNA (tRNA) molecules are approximately 80 nucleotides in length. The record is from RNAcentral. Lineage: Duplodnaviria; Heunggongvirae; Uroviricota; Caudoviricetes; Crassvirales.
UGGUCUUUAGUUUAACGGUAAAACAAUAGUCUCCAAAACUAUAGAUAUUGGUUCAACUCCAAUAAGAUCAG